UGAGUAACGAAAACAUUGGUGAGAAUCCAAUGCCCCGAAAACCCAAGGUUUCCUCCGCAGGAUUCGUCCACGGAGGGUGAGUCAGGGCCUAAGAUCAGGCCGAAAGGCGUAGUCGAUGGACAACAGAUCAAUAUUCCUGUACUACCUCUUGUUGGUACGGAGGGACGGAGGAGGCUAGGUUAGCAGAAAGAUGGUUAUAGGUUUAAGGACACAAGGUGACCGAUUCCGCAACAUUGUGGCUGUGUGCAGAGACCAUUCAUUUGAUAUGCUUCCCCCCGUUUCUUCCCACUAGUAAGCAAACAGCUGAAUCAUCGGCGCGUACACAGCGCAAACGGGAAAAACCCCGAAAGCUUCUUUAAUUCGUACAUAUUAAUUAUUUUCUGAGGACAUUGCAUUUUGUUUACCUCUCUUUUUAUGGACACCGCAGUGAGAU
Molecule: non-coding RNA, 433 nt
Filed under: Dichanthelium oligosanthes
Lineage: Eukaryota; Viridiplantae; Streptophyta; Magnoliopsida; Poales; Poaceae
Description: Bacterial large subunit ribosomal RNA
Rfam family: Bacterial large subunit ribosomal RNA
Source: Rfam by way of RNAcentral